GACGGGGGAUGCAAGUGUUAUCCGGAAUUACUGGGCGUAAAGCGUCUGUAGGUGGUUUCUUAAGUCCACUGUUAAACCUUGAGGCUCAACCUCAAAUCUGCAGUGGAAACUAGGGAACUUGAGGAUAGUAGGGGUAGAGGGAAUUUCCAGUGGAGCGGUGAAAUGCGUAGAUAUUGGAAAGAACACCGAUGGCGAAGGCACUCUACUGGGCUAUGACUGACACUCAGAGACGAAAGCUAGGGGAGCAAAUGGG
Molecule: ribosomal RNA, 253 nt
Filed under: uncultured bacterium
Lineage: Bacteria
Description: partial 16S ribosomal RNA
Rfam family: Bacterial small subunit ribosomal RNA
Source: RNAcentral